RNAcentral lists this ribosomal RNA (301 nucleotides) under uncultured bacterium. RNAcentral describes it as "partial 16S ribosomal RNA". It matches the Rfam family "Bacterial small subunit ribosomal RNA", at positions 509 to 809 of the family's 1533-position model. The record is from RNAcentral.
CAGCCGCCACGGGAAUACGGAGGGGGCUAGCGUUGUUCGGAAUUACUGGGCGUAAAGCGCACGUAGGCGGCUUUGUAAGUUAGAGGUGAAAGCCUGGAGCUCAACUCCAGAAUUGCCUUUAAGACUGCAUCGCUUGAACACGGGAGAGGUGAGUGGAAUUCCGAGUGUAGAGGUGAAAUUCGUAGAUAUUCGGAAGAACACCAGUGGCGAAGGCGGCUCACUGGCCCGUUGUUGACGCUGAGGUGCGAAAGCGUGGGGAGCAAACAGGAUUAGAUACCCCAGUAGUCCCUGUCUCUUAUAA